This 767-nucleotide ribosomal RNA is filed under the name uncultured Chloroflexota bacterium. Its description in RNAcentral is "bacterial SSU rRNA". It matches the Rfam family "Bacterial small subunit ribosomal RNA", at positions 8 to 804 of the family's 1533-position model. Lineage: Bacteria; Bacillati; Chloroflexota. The record is from RNAcentral.
AGAGAUCAUGGCUCAGGAUGAACGCUGGCGGCGUGCCUAAUACAUGCAAGUCGAACGAGAACCACCUUCGGGUGGGGGCAGUGGCGGACGGGUGAGUAACACGUAGAUGACCUGCCUCGAAGAGAGGGACAACCCGCUGAAAGGCGAGCUAAUACCUCAUAAGCUCACGCGGUUUAGAAGCGUGUGAGAAAAGCUCCGACGCUUCGAGAGGGGUCUGCGGGCUAUCAGCUAGUUGGCGGGGUAACGGCCCACCAAGGCGGUGACAGCUAGGGGACCUGAGAGGGUGAUCCCCCACACGGGAACUGAGAAACGGUCCCGACUCCUACGGGAGGCAGCAGUAAGGGAUAUUGCACAAUGGGCGCAAGCCUGAUGCAGCAACGCCGCGUGCAUGAUGAAGGCCUUCGGGUCGUAAAAUGCUUUUCUGACUGAAGAGGAAGGACAGUAAGUCAGGAAUAAGUGUCGGCUAACUACGUGCCAGCAGCCGCGGUAAAACGUAGGACGCAAGCGUUAUCCGGAGUUACUGGGCGUAAAGCGCGGGCAGGCGGUCGUUCAAGUCUGAUGUGAAAGCGCAUGGCUCAACCAAGCGAUGCCAUUGGAAACUAGACGACUGGAGUCUGGCAGAGGUAGGCGGAAUUCCGGGUGGAGUGGUGAAAUGCGUAGAGAUCCGGAGGAACACCAGAGGCGAAGCGGCUACUGGGCCAGUAUGACGCUGACCGCGAAGCCAGGGGAGCGAACGGGAUUAGAAACCCNCGGUAGUCCUGGCCGUA